Molecule: ribosomal RNA, 497 nt
Filed under: uncultured bacterium
Lineage: Bacteria
Description: partial 16S ribosomal RNA
Rfam family: Bacterial small subunit ribosomal RNA
Source: RNAcentral
GAUGAACGCUGGCGGCGUGCCUAAUACAUGCAAGUCGAGCGAACAGACGAGGAGCUUGCUCCUCUGACGUUAGCGGCGGACGGGUGAGUAACACGUGGAUAACCUACCUAUAAGACUGGGAUAACUUCGGGAAACCGGAGCUAAUACCGGAUAAUAUAUUGAACCGCAUGGUUCAAUAGUGAAAGACGGUUUUGCUGUCACUUAUAGAUGGAUCCGCGCUGGAUUAGCUAGUUGGUAAGGUAACGGCUUACCAAGGCAACGAUGCGUAGCCGACCUGAGAGGGUGAUCGGCCACACUGGAACUGAGACACGGUCCAGACUCCUACGGGAGGCAGCAGUAGGGAAUCUUCCGCAAUGGGCGAAAGCUUGACGGAGCAACGCCGCGUGAGUGAUGAAGGUCUUCGGAUCGUAAAACUCUGUUAUUAGGGAAGAAAAAAUGUGUAAGUAACUAUGCACGUCUUGACGGUACCUAAUCAGAAAGCCACGGCUAACUACGUG